CAAACGUAUGUAUAUAUAUAUAAUGUGAGGCUACUAUGCUUCUGGUAGCACGGAGCCUUCCGUGCUUCCAGAUUAUUUUCGAUGUUAAUGCGACUUUCAAAUCGUCGAUCGGCUCCAUUAAACUUGAUCUAGAAUAUUUGAAGUAGCUAGAAAAUAAAUUUUAUGAUUUUUCGAUAUCAUUUACCUAGUGAUCGAAGGGGCUCAAAAUCAAUAAUUUUAAUGGCCGUAGUGAGCCGUUUGGAAGUUUAAUCGGUGUAGAAAUAUCCAAAUCAUGUGAAAUUUUGAUAAAAAAUUCUUUAUACUAUAUAAAACAAGAUCAAUAUCUUUGAUCUAAACUUUUAAUAUCAUAUUAUCAUGUUUUGUAAGAUUUUUAUUUUCAGG
RNAcentral lists this long non-coding RNA (381 nucleotides) under Ananas comosus (pineapple). Its description in RNAcentral is "long non-coding RNA (ACOM_LNC020338)". The record is from RNAcentral. Lineage: Eukaryota; Viridiplantae; Streptophyta; Magnoliopsida; Poales; Bromeliaceae.